RNAcentral lists this ribosomal RNA (693 nucleotides) under uncultured bacterium. RNAcentral describes it as "bacterial SSU rRNA". It matches the Rfam family "Bacterial small subunit ribosomal RNA", at positions 8 to 745 of the family's 1533-position model. The record is from RNAcentral.
AGAGUUUGAUCAUGGCUCAGAACGAACGCUGGCGGCAGGCCUAAUACAUGCAAGUCGAACGCUCGUAGCAAUACGAGAGUGGCAGACGGGUGAGUAACACGUGGGAACCUUCCCUUUGGUUCGGAAUAGCUCAGGGAAACUUGAGGUAAUACCGGAUAAGCCCUUCGGGGGAAAGAUUUAUCGCCAUUGGAUGGGCCCGCGUCGGAUUAGCUAGUUGGUGAGGCAACGGCUCACCAAGGCGACGAUCCGUAGCUGGUCUGAGAGGAUGAUCAGCCACACUGGGACUGAGACACGGCCCAGACUCCUACGGGAGGCAGCAGUAGGGAAUAUUGGACAAUGGGCGCAAGCCUGAUCCAGCCAUGCCGCGUGAGUGACGAAGGCCUUCGGGUUGUAAAGCUCUUUUGGCGGGGACGAUAAUGACGGUACCCGCAGAAUAAGCUCCGGCUAACUUCGUGCCAGCAGCCGCGGUAAUACGAAGGGAGCUAGCGUUGUUCGGAAUCACUGGGCGUAAAGCGCACGUAGGCGGAUGUGUCAGUCAGGGGUGAAAUCCCGGAGCUCAACUUCGGAACUGCCUCUGAUACAGCACGUCUUGAGUCCCGGAAGAGGUGGGUGGAAUUCCUAGUGUAGAGGUGAAAUUCGUAGAUAUUAGGAAGAACACCGGUGGCAAAGGCGGCCACUGGCCCGGUACUGACG